This 3321-nucleotide long non-coding RNA is filed under the name Mytilus galloprovincialis (Mediterranean mussel). The record is from RNAcentral. Lineage: Eukaryota; Metazoa; Mollusca; Bivalvia; Mytilida; Mytilidae.
UUUGUUAUGAUUUUUUUUAUUGGCAAUGUUUUCUGAAGCAUUUUAUCCAGAGAUCAUACCCCUGCACAUAAACAUGGAGAACAACAUUCAGAUAUGUACAUCAUUCUAAAUUUGUCUACAAAUAUUGGUAAAUAGAAAGUCUGAUUGUAUAAACCUUUGUAACUAUAAAUCUGAUAUUAUAUAGUACAACAAAAUAGUUUAAUAUCAACAAUUGCCAAACAUAGCAGAUUUAUCAGACCUUUCUAUAGUGCCUUCACUUAAAGUCUGGUUUCCCCUAACUGUAAAUUUGACAAAGUUUCUUCUUGUGGUAGUAGCACUGAAUUGUAUUAAAAACAUGUUUGUCUUCAAAAAGGGUGUGUGUUCAAAAAGGAAAUUUAGCAAAUUUCAUCUUUGAACACAUUAAAAAUAUAUCAAAACAUUAUUUUUUUUUCUUUAAUUAAAAAUACUUUGAUUUUUUUUACUUUUCCAAAGUUCAGAUAUAAUAAUACACACAAAAAAAACAGUACUUGGGGAAUGCAUUUUGAAAAUAAAUCAACCACCCAAGGCAAUUUAGGAGACUUGCCAGCAUUUUAAACUUGUUACAUUAUCACAAACAACAUAUUAUAUCACAUCCACCAAAAGUGACAAAUUCAAAACUGGGUUCAAUAUAUGUUUUAUUGGUACAGACCUAAAAUCAGCAUGAGGCAAGUUGAGAAAGAACCUCCAUUGAACUGAUUUGUUUUGGAUCAGAUAAUUCUGCACAAGGAAAGUUUAAAAAGAAUCUCCAAUUAACUUAAUUGUUUAAGAUCUGAUAAAUCACCUAUAAUUGCAAGUUUCCCUGAAUUAAAAUCUGUGAGUUUUUAUAUUUAAAUGGAAUAAUAAGUUAAAUAACAUAUUAAAUGGCAACACCAGGUUUCAUUGAGGAUAUUUUUAGUAAUACAUUUAUAACACAUAACUAAAAUAUGCAAUUACUAAAAUAUAUAUAUCGCCAUUUUACUCACAAUCAAAAUAUAGAAACUCACAGUUUAGUUAAUAAACAUCACAAAAUUGUUUGGCAACAAUCAAACUUCUAUGGUAUAACCUUAAAAAUAACCACCAGCUUUAAAAAUCCACCACCUUUAAAGUAAUGGCCAAGUUUUUUCUCAUAUUUUAACAAUGACGAAAUUUCAUACAAUAUAAAAUGUGUUCACAUAAGUGCAUUUAUUUAUAAACUCUGUAACAUGAAUGUUACUGUGAACAUAUAGUGUCUUUCAGUAUUUAAACUUACUUAUUUGAAAAUUUUACCAACUGAUGUACAAUUUUUAAGUCAAUAUUUACAAAUCAAUUAAGCUUUACUGAAAUUUCAUUUAUGCAAUAUUUAAACAAGAACUUUUAACUUUUAAAACUCACACAAAAUGUGACAAGUGAUUUAUUUUUUUCUCUCUCACAGUUAUCUUAAAAGUUCUUGUCAAUUCAUAAUAUAAUGUAACAAGGACAGAUAUAUAAUAAUAUGAGAAAUGGUAGUUAUAAGUUUAGUAUUUCAAAUUUGAAAAGUCUUGUUAACAUUAUACUUUACUAUUUACACUAAAAAUGCUAUCUAUAGCAAAAAAAAAUCCAACCUUCUAAAAAUACACACAAAAUACAUUGUAAAAUGGACAUCACUAACAUUGAAUCAUAUUUAACAAACUUAUUGCACAUUAUGGACAAAUAUUUUUUUAUAAAUAAAUUAUAUAAAUAACAAAUUUUACUCCCCAUUAAAAGUAAAAGCUUUAUAAAAGUAAAAGGCUUUAUACCUAUUAUUUUACACAGAAUGAUAAAAAAGUAUUGUCUAGAUCAUCUAAAUGGUGUUUUAUUUAACUCAUUUCAUCUGAAAACUUUGUAUUUUUUUACUAUAAAACAAGGAAACCUGAUGUAGUUGUCAUCGACUCAACAACCCAUCAAUAACAAAAAGUGGAAGUGGUCAUAAUUUUCAGUAACACCUGAGGCAUCUAAGGCAUCUCAAAAUAUUUUGGUAGAACCUCAAUUAAAGUUCUUGGUAGAAUCUGUAUUUGUUUUUGAAGAAAUUUAAAUUAAGUUAUACAAGAAAUAGUCAAAGAUCCUUAUAAAUAAUUGUUAAUAAUUACUAUGUGCAAUUGAUAAAUACAACAUUUAUUUCAGGAAAAUUCCUUACUUUGUGGAUACAAAUUUUCUUAUACAUACACCUAUAAGGCUAUCAUGUUUACGACAAUAUGGAAGAACAUUUUAUCAUGAUUCGAACAUCACAGAUGAUUCUUCUCCCCCUUAAAAGUCUAUCAUCAAAAAGUUUAUUUACGUAAAAAAUUUGUGUAUGGCAAAACCCCAUGUUCAUUAGUACCUUCAUAUCCCAAAAACAUUUACAUUAGAAACUACAAAAUAUUCUGAUGAGGUGUUUUGUGUUUUGUUUUGUGUUUCUGUUUUGAAUGAAGGUCUUUAAAAUGUAAAGCUAUUCAUAGUUUUUCACAACUUUAAUGAUGUUUUACUUAUAAGGACAUUCAAAAUUAGAGUUUUGAGAAAAUUUGUUUAACCAUACUUAUAUGAUAGAGACAAUCGAAAAAAUUGCAACUAAAUUUAAAGCAAAAUAUACAUCAAUGCAUUUUACCAGUAAAACUGGUAUUUGGGACUUCAAAAUAAACUGUCAUUAUAUAUAUGGUUAGAUUUUUUUUGUAUUAACUUAUAAUACCACCUUUAAAUGAAAAAAAAUAAUGGUAAAAGCAUAUUUUUAUUUAAAGAUGAGGAGUAGCAAACAAAUUAUUUAUCAAUUAAUUUGUGAAUAGUAAAGAUAUAGUAAAUUUAAAAUGGAUCUAUAAAACAGAGACAAAUAACAACAAAUGGGUCUGAGCAAGAAACUAGUUGAGAACAUCAUAUUUUUUCAAAACAAUGUUGCCAUGGUUUUAUCAUUAAAAUAAACAAAAUGAAGAACAAUGAUGACAAAUGUUGAGAUUCAGAAAGAAUGUAAGAUAUGAUCUGAUUAAAAUGUUCAUGCUAUAAUCUACAAUAUGGAAUGUCAAAAAUAAAGUAUAAUACAUCUUCUAGAAUCAACAUCAAAUACAGUCAUUCAUUUUUUACAUAACUAUUUUUGAACUGAUAUAAAUAAAAAUCUAGAGUUAAAUAUUUCUUUUUUAUGCAAAUGCUUUUAGAAGAUAAGAAUUUAUAUGAGAUUUAAAAAAAAGUUAAAUCUGCACUUAAGAUAUAUUUUUGAAAUACAUAGAAAUUUCAUAUUUACAUAUUUGCCAGCAUCAAUGAAUCAUUUUAUAGUUGCAAACUGAGAUGUGACUGAUACAAAAGCAAGGAAGUAAAUAUCUUAAAACAUAAAAUUAAGUUGGAGGAUUUAAAUUAUAAUUAAAA